GAUGAACGCUGGCGGCGUGCCUAAUACAUGCAAGUCGAACGAGGUGCUUUUGUAGCAAUACGAGAGUAUCCUAGUGGCGAACGGGUGAGUAACGCGUUGGUGACCUACCCCAAGUGUGGGAUAACAGUCCGAAAGGAUUGCUAAUACCGCAUGUGGUCUUCGGAUUUAGAAACUGAUGACUAAAGGAGCAAUUCGCUUUGGGAGGGACCUGCGUCCCAUCAGCUAGUUGGUGAGGUAAUGGCUCACCAAGGCUACGACGGGUAGGGGACCUGAGAGGGUGACCCCUCACAAUGGAACUGAAACACGGUCCAUACACCUACGGGUGGCAGCAGUAGGGAAUAUUGCACAAUGGGCGAAAGCCUGAUGCAGCAACGCCGCGUGUGCGAUGAAGGCCUUCGGGUCGUAAAGCACUUUUCUGGGAGAUGAGCAAGGACAGUAUCUCAGGAAUAAGUCUCGGCUAACUACGUGCCAGCAGCCGCGGA
RNAcentral lists this ribosomal RNA (482 nucleotides) under uncultured bacterium. Its description in RNAcentral is "bacterial SSU rRNA". It matches the Rfam family "Bacterial small subunit ribosomal RNA", at positions 28 to 521 of the family's 1533-position model. The record is from RNAcentral.